GAGUUUGAUCCUGGCUCCAGAUUGAACGCUGGCGGCAUCGCCUUACACAUGCAAGUCGAACGGCAGCACGGGAGCUUGCUCCUGGUGGGCGAGUGGCGAACGGGUGAGUAAUGCAUCGGAACGUAUCCUGGAGUGGGGGAUAACGUAGCGAAAGUUACGCUAAUACCGCAUAUUCUGUGAGCAGGAAAGCGGGGGACCUUCGGGCCUCGCGCUCUUGGAGCGGCCGAUGUCGGAUUAGCUAGUUGGUGAGGUAAAGGCUCACCAAGGCGACGAUCCGUAGCAGGUCUGAGAGGAUGAUCUGCCACACUGGAACUGAGACACGGUCCAGACUCCUACGGGAGGCAGCAGUGGGAAUUUUGGACAAUGGGGGCAACCCUGAUCCAGCCAUGCCGCGUGAGUGAAGAAGGCCUGGUUCGUAAG
This 420-nucleotide ribosomal RNA is filed under the name bacterium enrichment culture clone ALO1_GLFRUDD03F8LUE. RNAcentral describes it as "bacterial SSU rRNA". It matches the Rfam family "Bacterial small subunit ribosomal RNA", at positions 9 to 429 of the family's 1533-position model. The record is from RNAcentral.